Molecule: long non-coding RNA, 1543 nt
Organism: Juglans regia (Persian walnut)
Lineage: Eukaryota; Viridiplantae; Streptophyta; Magnoliopsida; Fagales; Juglandaceae
Exons: 5
Source: RefSeq, a predicted model, not a curated record
AUCUACGGUUUGUAAGAGAAACAAUGUUCAACCAUUGGGUCAGUGCAAUGCAGAGAUUGGUGGAUUUAUCAGAGGUACAGGAAGAUACAAACCGUUUCUUGACUGAGAUUGAGGCUGAUUGAACGGAAAAAGCCAAGAAGAUCUUAUUUUUAUGCGAUUCCUUGGGUCAAGAAGGCACCCCAGAUGAUGAUAUUCUCUUUUCUUUCGUUGCGCAGCCUCACUUUAUAUGCUUGUCUCCAUUUAUCAGUGAGGAAUCUGCUGUCUGCUGCUCGCAUCUGUGAACAGACUUCUUUCACCUUUGGCAUUGCUAAGAUAAUGUCCGUUGGAAGCUACUGCAGCCUAUAAGCUCCAAGUCAAGAAACUUAAAAAUUAAAACAGUUGGCAUCUUCAUGUAGUGCCUACAUGUUUGCAUUUAUGAAUCUAUUCUUGGUUUGUAAGAGCAAAUCAGCCAACAAGGAAAAGUUUUUGGCUUUCUGGAUGUGGAGGAAUCCUAGGGAGGCAUGACAACUUGUAGCAUCAACAUCUUGUCCCCUUCCUUAGGCCAAGGAGUCAUGCACAUGCAGUCACCAUAAAGUUCUCUAAGUUGCGGUUGAUUUAACCUGCUAGAUGGUAUCAAUCUUUAUCCCUUGCACCAGGUUCAAAUUAAGUGGUGACAGAGGUUGAAGUUUGGAACCAACCAUUUGAUUCUCAAACGGAUUGCUUUUAGCAAGUGGACAAGUAUUUGUUGGAACAUGGUUGAUUACUCACCAAAAAACAUUACACAUCUUCAUUCAUUACAGUUUAGCUUGCAUAAGUGUGCUAGUGCUGCAGUGGAAUGUGUCAUUUACCAGAGCAGUUCAAGAUUGGGAAGUGGGAGACAUUUCUGAUUUCUACAGCACCUUGUAUGCACUGAAUUUGGAGCGUGGCGUGGAGGACAAACUGCUGUGGACACACCCCGGGAACAAAAAAUUCUCGGUUAAAUCUUUAUAUAAGGCUAUGUAUACCCACUCUUCUCAAAAUUUCCCUUGGAAGCGCAUUUGGAAGAGCAAAGUGCCCCCAAAAGUUGCUUUCCUCAGUUGGCUGGCCUCUCACUCCAAAAUUCUGACCAUAGACAAGUUGAGGAAGUAUGGUUUUUUUAUAAUGGAUUGGUGCUUCAUGUGCAAAAGGAAUGGCAAAUCGACAGACCAUCUUCUUCUCCAUUGUGAUGUGGCAAAGGCUCUAUGGGAUAAGUCUUCUUAAGGCUGGACAUUGCUUGGGUAAUGCCCAAGAAGGUGGUGGACCUAUUGGCUUCAUGUUGGAGCUGAUCACGGGGAAAUUGUCCAGUAGCGGAUGUUGGAAGAUGGUGUCCUUAUGUCUUAUGUGGUGUAUGUGGAAUGAGAGGAAUGAAAGAUGUUUUGAAAAUAGUGAUCGCUCAUUGGAGGGGAUUAGAGACUCAUUUUUCCAAACUUUGUUACUUUGGGCUAAGACUAUUGUAUUAGAUGGGGGUGAUUUUAGUGACUCGUGUGCGUCUUUUUUUGUUUGUAGACUGUAAUUAGGUAUUUCUCUUUUGUAUACCACCUGUGUA